Molecule: ribosomal RNA, 216 nt
Filed under: uncultured bacterium
Lineage: Bacteria
Description: partial 16S ribosomal RNA
Rfam family: Bacterial small subunit ribosomal RNA
Source: RNAcentral
UGGGAAUCUGCCCUUAGGUCCGGAAUAACUCAGGGAAACUUGAGCUAAUACCGGAUGAUGACUUCGGACCAAAGAUUUAUUGCCUAAGGAUGAGCCCGCGUAAGAUUAGCUUGUUGGUGAGGUAAAGGCUCACCAAGGCGACGAUCUUUAGCUGGUCUGAGAGGAUGAUCAGCCACACUGGGACUGAGACACGGCCCAGACUCCUACGGGAGGCAG